AUGUGUUGUGUGUUGUGUGUGCUCUGUUGUGUGUGUGCUGUGUGCUCUGUUUGUUGUGUGGUGUGUGUGCUGUGUGCUCUGUGUGUGUGGUGUGUGUGCUGUGUGCUCUGUGUGUUGUGGUGUGUGUGCUGUGUGCUCUGUUGUGUGUGUUUUGUGUGCUGUGUGUGUUGUGUGGUGUGUGUGUGUUUUGUGCGCUGUGUGUUGUGUGCUGUGUGUGUUGUGUGCUCUGUGUGUUGUGUGCUGUGUGCUCUGUGUGUUGUGUGUGUUGUGUGCUCUGUUGUGUGUGUGCUGUGUGCUGUUUGUUGUGUGGUGUGUGUGCUGUGUGCUGUGUGCUCUGUGUGCUGUUUGCUGUGUGUGGUGUGUGCUGUGCUCAUGUGUUGUGUGGUGUGUGUGCUGUGUGCUCUGUGUGUUGUGUGGUGUGUGUUGUGUGCUCUGUGUGUUGUGUGUGGUGUGUGUGCUGUGUGCUCUGUUGUGUGUGUUGUGUGCUCUGUGUGUUGUGUGGUGUGUGUGCUGUGUGCUCUGUUGUGUGUGUGCUAUGUGCUCUGUUGUGAUGUGUGGUGUGUGUGCUGUCUGCUCUGUGUGCUGUGUGGUGUGUGUGCUGUGUGCUCUAUGUGUUGUGUUUUGUGUGCUGUGUGCUCUGUGUGUUGUGUGUUGUGUGUGCUGUGUGCUCUGUGUUGUGUUUUGUGUGCUGUGUGCUCUGUGUGGUGUGUGGUCUGUGGUGUGUGUGCUCUGUGUGGUGUGUGUGCUCUAUGUGUUGUGUUGUGUGUGCUGUGUGCUCUGUGUGGUGUGUGGUGUGUGUGCUCUAUGCUCUGUGUGUUGUGUGGUAUGUGUGCUGUGUGCUCUAUGUGUUGUGUUUUGUGUGCUGUGUGCUCUGUGUGUUGUGUUGUGUGUGCUGUGUGUGCUUUCCUUGUGUGUUGUGUUUUGUGUGCUGUGUGCUCUGUGUGUUGUGUUGUGUGUGCUGUGUGCUCUGUGUGGUGUGUGGUCUGUGGUGUGUGUGUGCUCUGUGUGGUGUGUGUGUGCUCUAUGUGUAUUUGUGUUGUUGUGGUAUUACUGUGCUCUGUGUGUGGUGUGUGGUGUGUGUAUUGCUGUGUGUGUGGAGAGGGAAGCUCAUUGUGUAGGAAAUGA
RNAcentral lists this long non-coding RNA (1125 nucleotides) under Papio anubis (olive baboon). RNAcentral describes it as "lncRNA (ENSPANG00000043694.1)". The record is from RNAcentral. Lineage: Eukaryota; Metazoa; Chordata; Mammalia; Primates; Cercopithecidae.